Molecule: ribosomal RNA, 478 nt
Filed under: uncultured bacterium
Lineage: Bacteria
Description: partial 16S ribosomal RNA
Rfam family: Bacterial small subunit ribosomal RNA
Source: RNAcentral
GACGAACGCUGGCGGCGUGCUUAACACAUGCAAGUCGAACGGUAAGGCCCUUCGGGGUACACGAGUGGCGAACGGGUGAGUAACACGUGGGUGAUCUGCCCUGCACUUCGGGAUAAGCCUGGGAAACUGGGUCUAAUACCGGAUAGGACCACUGCCUGCAUGGGUGGUGGUGGAAAGCUUUUGCGGUGUGGGAUGGGCCCGCGGCCUAUCAGCUUGUUGGUGGGGUGAUGGCCUACCAAGGCGACGACGGGUAGCCGGCCUGAGAGGGUGACCGGCCAAAGUGGGACUGAGAUACGGCCCAGACUCCUGCGGGAGGCAGCAGUGGGGAAUAUUGCACGAUGGGCGCAAGCCUGAUGCAGCGACGCCGCGUGAGGGAUGACGGCCUUCGGGUUGUAAACCUCUUUCAGCACCGACGAAGCGCAAGUGACGGUAGGUGCAGAAGAAGGACCGGCCAACUACGUGCCAGCCGCCGCGGUAA